AUGGAUUAGGAACAGAGAUGUGGUGAAGGAGGUAAUGGAACAAUCUGAGCUCCUCAGUAACUUAUUAAUGAACCUUAUUAGGAGGGAGAAUGAGUCAAGCAACCCACAAGUUAGUCUCAUUAACGGCGGUGUUAUGUCCUAGAAGCAUGAUAAUUUUGCUUCUCCCACACAUUUUUACUCUUACUUCCUCUGGAAGAUCAAAGAACAUCUGAAUCUAUUGAAAUUAUUUUGCUGUAAAAUCUACUGUGCUCCUGGAUACUCUUAAUGGCUCUUGUUUUAUUGGGUAAAGAAGACUAGAGACUGGAUUUCACAACGACAAACAUAUAUACAAAGAUUCCUGUGGUGAUGUUUAUAGAUGAUAUGAGAAUGAAACUGGAAAAGUGUAAUUAAGAACCAGAUGGUUUCAGAAGUGCUUACUUUGGCCCGUGUCUCAUUGAUACUCAGAUACAGUCUAA
Molecule: non-coding RNA, 455 nt
Organism: Odocoileus virginianus texanus
Lineage: Eukaryota; Metazoa; Chordata; Mammalia; Artiodactyla; Cervidae
Source: RefSeq, a predicted model, not a curated record